GGGAAGGUGGCUCAGUGGUACAGUGCUUGCCUCGCAUGCAUGGGGCCCUGGGUUCGAUUCCCUCUGUACCA
This is a non-coding RNA of Dipodomys ordii (Ord's kangaroo rat), 71 nucleotides long. The record is from Rfam. Lineage: Eukaryota; Metazoa; Chordata; Mammalia; Rodentia; Heteromyidae.